This 301-nucleotide ribosomal RNA is filed under the name uncultured bacterium. RNAcentral's name for it is "partial 16S ribosomal RNA". It matches the Rfam family "Bacterial small subunit ribosomal RNA", at positions 509 to 807 of the family's 1533-position model. The record is from RNAcentral.
CAGUAGCCGCGGGAAUACGUAGGGUGCGAGCGUUAAUCGGAAUUACUGGGCGUAAAGCGUGCGCAGGCGGUUGUGCAAGACAGGUGUGAAAUCCCCGGGCUUAACCUGGGAACUGCAUUUGAAACUGGCAAGCUAGAGUCUUGUAGAGGGGGGUAGAAUUCCAGGUGUAGCGGUGAAAUGCGUAGAGAUCUGGAGGAAUACCGGUGGCGAAGGCGGCCCCCUGGACGAAGACUGACGCUCAGGUGCGAAAGCGUGGGGAGCAAACAGGAUUAGAUACCCGCGUAGUCCCUGUCUCUUAUAC